GAAAUGCGAUAAGUAAUGUGAAUUGCAGAAUUCAGUGAAUCAUCGAAUCUUUGAACGCUCAUUGCGCCCGCCAGUAUUCUGGCGGGCAUGCCUGUUCGAGCGUCAUUACAACCCUCAGGCCCCCGGGCCUGGCGUUGGGGAUCGGCGGAAGCCCCCUGCGGGCACAACGCCGUCCCCCAAAUACAGUGGCGGUCCUGCCGCAGCUUCCAUUGCGUAGUAGCUAACACCUCGCAACUGGAGAGCGGCGCGGCCACGCCGUAAAACACCCAACUUCUGAAUGUUGACCUCGAAUCAGGUAGGAAUACCCGCUGAACUUAAGC
Molecule: unclassified non-coding RNA, 320 nt
Filed under: plant metagenome
Description: partial contains 5.8S ribosomal RNA, internal transcribed spacer 2, and large subunit ribosomal RNA
Rfam family: 5.8S ribosomal RNA (bases 1-105)
Source: RNAcentral